GGAUGCGAUCAUACCAACUCACAUGCACCGGAUCCCACCAGAACUCCGAAGUUAAGAGAGUUUGGGCGAGAGUAGUACUAGGAUGGGUGACCUCCUGGGAAGUCCUCGUGUUGCGUCUCCUC
RNAcentral lists this ribosomal RNA (122 nucleotides) under Prunus persica (peach). The record is from RNAcentral. Lineage: Eukaryota; Viridiplantae; Streptophyta; Magnoliopsida; Rosales; Rosaceae.